This 450-nucleotide ribosomal RNA is filed under the name uncultured bacterium. RNAcentral's name for it is "partial 16S ribosomal RNA". It matches the Rfam family "Bacterial small subunit ribosomal RNA", at positions 354 to 796 of the family's 1533-position model. The record is from RNAcentral.
GUGGGGAAUCUUCCGCAAUGGACGAAAGUCUGACGGAGCAACGCCGCGUGAGUGAUGAAGGUCUUCGGAUUGUAAAGCUCUGUUAAUCGGGACGAAAGAGCCUAGUGUGAAUAAUGCUAGGAAGUGACGGUACCGGAAUAGAAAGCCACGGCUAACUACGUGCCAGCAGCCGCGGUAAUACGUAGGUGGCAAGCGUUGUCCGGAAUUAUUGGGCGUAAAGCGCGCGCAGGCGGAUCUGCCAGUCUGUCUUAAAAGUUCGGGGCUUAACCCCGUGAUGGGAUGGAAACUACAGAUCUAGAGUAUCGGAGAGGAAAGUGGAAUUCCUAGUGUAGCGGUGAAAUGCGUAGAUAUUAGGAAGAACACCAGUGGCGAAGGCGACUUUCUGGACGUAAACUGACGCUGAGGCGCGAAAGCCAGGGGAGCGAACGGGAUUAGAAACCCGGGUAGUCC